Molecule: unclassified non-coding RNA, 253 nt
Filed under: plant metagenome
Description: partial contains small subunit ribosomal RNA, internal transcribed spacer 1, and 5.8S ribosomal RNA
Source: RNAcentral
UUUCCGUAGGUGAACCUGCGGAAGGAUUAUUAACGAGUUAGGGUCUUCUAGGCCCGACCUCCCAACCCUAUGUUUAUUGAACCUCUGUUGCUUCGGCGGACCCGCCUCACGGCCGCCGGAGGACCGCUGCAAGGCGUCCUCUGGCCAGCGUCCGCCGAUGGCCAACCACUUAAACUCUGAAUGAAUCGUGUCAUAUGUCUAAGUCUAUGAUUAAAUUAAAGCAAAACUUUCAACAACGGAUCUCUUGGUUCUG